UAGUCCACGCCGUAAACGAUGAGAACUAGCUGUGGGGUUUUAUUACUUCGUAGCAAAGCUAACGCAUUAAGUUCUCCGCCUGGGGAGUACGACCGCAAGGUUAAAACUCAAAUGAAUUGACGGGGGCCCGCACAAGCGGUGGAGCAUGUGGUUUAAUUCGAUGCAACGCGAAGAACCUUACCUACCCUUGACAUCCCACGAAUCUUGCAGAGAUGCUUGAGUGCCUUCGGGAACGUGGUGACAGGUGCUGCAUGGCUGUCGUCAGCUCGUGUUGUGAAAUGUUGGGUUAAGUCCCGUAACGAGCGCAACCCUUAUUCUUAUUUGCCAGCGAGUAAUGUCGGGAACUAUAAGAAGACUGCCGGUGACAAACCGGAGGAAGGUGAGGACGACGUCAAGUCAUCAUGGCCCUUACGGGUAGGGCUACACACGUGCUACAAUGGUUAGUACAAUGGGAAGCAAUACGGCGACGUGGAGCAAAUCCAGAAAAGCUAAUCUUAGUCCGGAUUGCAGUCUGCAACUCG
Molecule: ribosomal RNA, 521 nt
Filed under: uncultured bacterium
Lineage: Bacteria
Description: bacterial SSU rRNA
Rfam family: Bacterial small subunit ribosomal RNA
Source: RNAcentral